RNAcentral lists this ribosomal RNA (253 nucleotides) under uncultured bacterium. Its description in RNAcentral is "partial 16S ribosomal RNA". It matches the Rfam family "Bacterial small subunit ribosomal RNA", at positions 524 to 776 of the family's 1533-position model. The record is from RNAcentral.
UACAGAGGGUGCAAGCGUUAAUCGGAAUUAUUGGGCGUAAAGGGCUUGUAGGCGGUUUAUUAAGUUAGGUGUGAAAACCCUGGGCUCAACCUGGGGCUGGCAUCUAAUACUGGUAAGCUAGAGUAUAGGAGAGGAGAAGGGAAUUUCUGGUGUAGCGGUGAAAUGCGUAGAUAUCAGAAGGAACAUCAGUGGCGAAGGCGCUUCUCUGGCCUAAUACUGACGCUGAGGAGCGAAGGCGUGGGGAUCAAACAGG